GACGAACGCUGGCGGCGUGCUUAACACAUGCAAGUCGAACGGAAAGGCCCUGCUUUUGUGGGGUGCUCGAGUGGCGAACGGGUGAGUAACACGUGAGUAACCUGCCCUUGACUUUGGGAUAACUUCAGGAAACUGGGGCUAAUACCGGAUAGGAGCUCCUGCUGCAUGGUGGGGGUUGGAAAGUUUCGGCGGUUGGGGAUGGACUCGCGGCUUAUCAGCUUGUUGGUGGGGUAGUGGCUUACCAAGGCUUUGACGGGUAGCCGGCCUGAGAGGGUGACCGGCCACAUUGGGACUGAGAUACGGCCCAGACUCCUACGGGAGGCAGCAGUGGGGAAUAUUGCACAAUGGGCGGAAGCCUGAUGCGGCAACGCCGCGUACGGGAUGACGGCCUUCGGGUUGUAAACCGCUUUCGCCUGUGACGAAGCGUGAGUGACGGUAAUGGGUAAAGAAGCACCGGCUAACUACGUG
Molecule: ribosomal RNA, 468 nt
Filed under: uncultured bacterium
Lineage: Bacteria
Description: partial 16S ribosomal RNA
Rfam family: Bacterial small subunit ribosomal RNA
Source: RNAcentral